This 210-nucleotide ribosomal RNA is filed under the name uncultured bacterium. RNAcentral's name for it is "partial 16S ribosomal RNA". It matches the Rfam family "Bacterial small subunit ribosomal RNA", at positions 1283 to 1500 of the family's 1533-position model. The record is from RNAcentral.
CUGUCUCAGUUCGGAUUGGAGUCUGCAACCCGACUCCAUGAAGCUGGAUUCGCUAGUAAUCGCGCAUCAGCCACGGCGCGGUGAAUACGUUCCCGGGCCUUGUACACACCGCCCGUCAAGCCAUGGAAGCCGGGGGUGCCUGAAGUGCGCUGCCGCAAGGAGCGCCCUAGGGUAAAACCGGUGACUGGGGCUAAGUCGUAACAAGGUAUC